Long non-coding RNA from Poecilia latipinna (sailfin molly), 179 nucleotides. RefSeq lists it as uncharacterized. The transcript has 2 exons. Lineage: Eukaryota; Metazoa; Chordata; Actinopteri; Cyprinodontiformes; Poeciliidae. The record is from RefSeq and is a predicted model, not a curated record.
CCCGUUAGACGGAGAGCUGGGAGCAACAUCUCCCUCCUCUCAGAAGAGGAAGUAGAGAGAGAGAAGGGGGGGGGGUGUUGUGCAACAACAAGGUGGCGCCCAACGUGGGGCACCGCCCCUUGAGAAGAGGUGGGCCCAUUUCAAAUGAGUAGGAAGGACCUACGUUAACCAAGUCAGUA